AGAGAUGCAGCUCAGUGGUAGAGAGCUUGCCUAGCAUGCACAAGGUCCUGGGAUCAAUCACCAGCACCACUG
This 72-nucleotide transfer RNA is filed under the name Marmota monax (woodchuck). RNAcentral describes it as "tRNA.Ala". The record is from RNAcentral. Lineage: Eukaryota; Metazoa; Chordata; Mammalia; Rodentia; Sciuridae.